RNAcentral lists this long non-coding RNA (912 nucleotides) under Marmota monax (woodchuck). The record is from RNAcentral. Lineage: Eukaryota; Metazoa; Chordata; Mammalia; Rodentia; Sciuridae.
GUAUAUUUGAAUUUUAUAGUGAAAAUAAUCUGUGAAACCAACCAUGCCUUUAUCACAAAGUUUACUAUAUAACCCAAAGGGAUGCAUUAUAGCCAUAGCUUUCUUAGCAUAGUUUCCCAAAAUUCCUGACUCUCAAAAAAAUCCAUUCUAUUAUAAAAAUUCUCAUCUCACAUAAUGUAAGAAAAAGACUUGAACUUUGGUAAAAAAAUAAAUUAACUGACAGGAAUAAGUGAUACUAUAAGUGUAUCAGAAUAACAGGUAUGACUAACUAUGGAUAAACUUUUAUUUUUAAUGUUGCCACAUUCUCACAUUUCCCUUUAUCUAAUCCACUGAACACCACUGAACAAUAAAUCACUUCCUUUCAUAAAGUUUAAUGUUAAAUAUAAACAAAACGCCUUUUAAAUUCUUGUCAAAGGUGACUCAAAUGACAAACAUAGGCAGAUCAUUGGAUGAUUAGAAAAAUAUAUGAAUGUACAAUAGAUUAUGAAAUGUUAUUGAACAAAUACAAAGAAAAUUCAGUGCUCUCUUUUUAACAUUUGUAUUAGUGCAUUGUCAUUUUGCAUAAUAGUGGGGUUGUUUAGACAUAUUAAUGAAUGCAUAUAACAUAAUUUCUCCAUUUUAACCUGUACUGCUCUUUUGUAGAAUGAAGGAACACUGAAGAAUAAAACAGAGGGAGCAUGCGAAAAGCAGGAGGAGACAUGAAGGGAGACCUUAGGUUCUGAAGCAUGUUUAUAAAAAAAAAAAUAAACUCCAGAUUACACUUAGUUGUGACCUUCAGGAAAGUGAUUUUUUUAAAAAAAGAAGUCAGUUGAUUAACUACUACAGUGUAAUAAUUGAAUAUUUAAACUGAAAUGUUUUCUUGAUAUGGAGCCAAUGUAACCAUUAAUACUUAAUUGUGGUGAACCAUAUUUC